GCCUGGGUGGCUCAGUCGGUUGAGCAUCUGGCUUCGGCUCAGGUCAUGAUCUCACAGCUCGUGAGUUCGAGCCCCACGUUGGGCU
This 85-nucleotide transfer RNA is filed under the name Felis catus (domestic cat). It matches the Rfam family "tRNA". From Rfam's summary of the family: Transfer RNA (tRNA) molecules are approximately 80 nucleotides in length. Their secondary structure includes four short double-helical elements and three loops (D, anti-codon, and T loops). Lineage: Eukaryota; Metazoa; Chordata; Mammalia; Carnivora; Felidae. The record is from Rfam by way of RNAcentral.